This 456-nucleotide long non-coding RNA is filed under the name Phoenix dactylifera (date palm). RNAcentral describes it as "long non-coding RNA (PDAC_LNC006872)". Lineage: Eukaryota; Viridiplantae; Streptophyta; Magnoliopsida; Arecales; Arecaceae. The record is from RNAcentral.
UCUUUUCUUUACCUUGACCAUGAAGUGCCAUGGAAUGACCUUUUUCUAUUCCGCUCGACAUGAUAAACAAUAUUGCCAAGCAUUAUCUCAGUUAUUUAAUUAGUUUCAUGGCCCUUUUUUUUAGAAUAAUUACUUUUCUGCACUUCCAUUCAAAAAUAAUAUUAAAUUAAAAAGAUUUUUUGCCUAUCUUUGUUAGAUUCAUGUAUCUUUGUUGAAAUAGUAUACUUGAUAGCUAUCCAUUUUCAUAUCAUUUUCUAAAAUAUUUUAUAUUUAUUAAAAAAAAUUAUUAUUAAAAAAAAGGCCUCAUUCAUUGGAUUCGCCUUAGGCCCCCAAAUGUAUUGGGCCGCCCCUGUUUGAGGACAGUUAUUAUGUAUUAGUAUAAUUAAGUAAAAUUGUACUUUGUAGAAGACUCUUCGACAAUCAAGCUAAUUGAUUUAUCUCUACAUGAGCCUUAGU